This 1241-nucleotide ribosomal RNA is filed under the name metagenome. RNAcentral describes it as "bacterial LSU rRNA". It matches the Rfam family "Bacterial large subunit ribosomal RNA", at positions 1564 to 2815 of the family's 2925-position model. The record is from RNAcentral.
UGAAUACGAGACGCUACGGCGUCGAAGCAGUCUAUGUCAUACUUCCAAGAAAAGCUCGCAAUGUCAUAAACAAAUAAUGCCUGUACCAUAACCGACACAGGUGGGUAGGUAGAGUAUACUAAGGGGCGCGAGAUAACUCUCUCUAAGGAACUCGGCAAAAUGACUCCGUAACUUCGGGAGAAGGAGUGCCUUAUUUAUAAGGUUGCAAUAACAAGAUCCAAGCAACUGUUUAUCAAAAACACAGGUCUCCGCUAAGUCGUAAGACGAUGUAUGGGGGCUGACGCCUGCCCAGUGCCAGAAGGUUAAAGAAGUUGGUUAGCAUUCGCGAAGCUGAUAACUGAAGCCCUGGUGAACGGCGGCCGUAACUAUAACGGUCCUAAGGUAGCGAAAUUCCUUGUCGGGUAAGUUCCGACCCGCACGAAAGGCGUAAUGAUUUGGAUACUGUCUCGGAGAGGGGCUCGGUGAAAUAGACUUGUCUGUGAAGAUGCGGACUACCUGCACCUGGACAGAAAGACCCUAUGAAGCUUUACUGUAACUUGAAAUUGAAAUUGGACUUUAUUUGCGCAGCAUAGGUGGGAGGCGUUGAGAGUAUUCUUGCGGGAAUAUUGGAGCCACCAGUGAGAUACCACUCUUGUAAUGUUAGAUUUCUAACUUUGUAUCAUUAUCUGGUCAAAGAACAGUUUCAGGCGGGCAGUUUGACUGGGGCGGUCGCCUCCCAAACGGUAACGGAGUCGUACAAAGGUUUCCUCUGAACGGGUAGAAAUCGUAUCUAGAGUGUAAAGGCAUAAGGAAGCUUGACUGUGAGACCUACAAGUCGAGCAGGGACGAAAGUCGGUCUUAGUGAUCUGACGGUGCUGAGUGGAAAGGCCGUCACUCAACGGAUAAAAGUUACUCUAGGAUAACAGGCUGAUCUCCCCCAAGAGUUCACAUCGACGGGGAGGUUUGGCACCUCGAUGUCGGCUCAUCGCAUCCUGGGGCGGUAGUACGUCCCAAGGGUUGGGCUGUUCGCCCAUGAAAGCGGUACGCGAGCUGGGUUCAGAACGUCGUGAGACAGUUCGGUCCAUAUCCGGUGUAGGCGUUAGAAUAUUGAGAGGAGCCUUCUUUAGUACGAGAGGACCGAGAAGGACAUACCUCUGGUGUACCAGUUAUCGUGCCAACGGUAAACGCUGGGUAGCUAUGUAUGGAGAGGAUAACCGCUGAAAGCAUCUAAGUGGGAAGCCCACCUCAAGAUAAGUAUUCUC